RNAcentral lists this long non-coding RNA (791 nucleotides) under Marmota monax (woodchuck). The record is from RNAcentral. Lineage: Eukaryota; Metazoa; Chordata; Mammalia; Rodentia; Sciuridae.
ACGAGAGAUGGGGGGAUUCUCGCUGGGAAAAGCCCUGGGCUUGUGGUCACCCGUGCACUUGGGUCUUGAUGCUGCUGAUGAUCUGCGUCCUGACAGCGACCUCUCAUUUCCCUGGACUUUGGAUUCUGUAUCUGAUGAGACACCUGCCCAGCUCGCGGUCAGUGAUCAUUAAAGGAGGGUGGAAAGAGCAGAGCUUGGAAUCUGAAAUGAAGUAGACAAUCAGGGAGGAAAGGUUGCUUUUAAAACGCUGGCAUGUCUCUAGUAGCGUUUCUACUCUCCUGUAAAAUGACAGAUGGUUCCAGCGUCUAAAGAUGUCAAGUUAGAAAAAGUGCUCAUCCUCCCUAUUAGCUGGCAAUUCUUUCUUAGGUGGAAUCUCAAUGAGAUGAGCUGGGAAUCCCAUCAUAUAUAAUUCAAAUGUGUUAGAACACUUUAGCUCUAAAAUUAUCCUUAUGAGAGGAAAAAGAAGAAAGACCUGUCUGCCAGGCCCUUAAAAAAAUCAGCUAAACCAAAAGCCAGUCCUCCUCAUCCACGUGUUUUAUACCUGGAACAGAUCAGACCAGAGGGACACCUCCCACUGUGGAUGGUGGGCCCAGUGAGCACAAAGUUUUAGAUCAUACAGACGAUUCAAUAGGUUAUAAAUAGGACAAGGACACUUUGCAAGCACCCAGCACUUUUUUGAAAUGCAACCAAGAACCCCAAAAUGAAGGGAGAAAUGCUACCCCAGAAGACACACAUUAACCAGCAUUUUGAUAUGACUUUGACCCAGCACCCAAGACUGACAUGAAGACCAG